AGUACGGCCGCAAGGUUGAAACUCAAAGGAAUUGACGGGACCCCGCACAAGCAGCGGAGCAUGUUGUUUAAUUCGAAGCAACGCGAAGAACCUUACCAGGGCUUGACAUCCUACAAAUCUGCCAGAGAUGGCGGAGUGCCCUUCGGGGAAUGUAGAGACAGGUGGUGCAUGGUUGUCGUCAGCUCGUGUCGUGAGAUGUUGGGUUAAGUCCCGCAACGAGCGCAACCCUUACAUUUAGUUGCCAGCACGCAAAGGUGGGAACUCUAAAUGGACAGCCGGGGUAACCCGGAGGAAGGUGGGGACGACGUCAAAUCAUCAUGCUCCUUAUGUCCUGGGCUACAAACGUGCUACAAUGGCCACAACAAAGGGAAGCAAGACCGCAAGGUGGAGCGAAACCGAGAAAAGUGGUCCCAGUUCGGAUUGAGGGCUGCAACCCGCCCUCAUGAAGUUGGAGUUGCUAGUAAUCGCGAGUCAGCAUAUCGCGGUGAAUACGUUCCCGGGGUUUGUACACACCGCCCGUCACACCAUGGGAGUUGAGAGCACCCGAAGCCGGUGAGGUAACCGCAAGGAGCCAGCCGUCUAAGGUGAGAUCAGCGACUGGGGUG
This 605-nucleotide ribosomal RNA is filed under the name uncultured bacterium. RNAcentral's name for it is "bacterial SSU rRNA". It matches the Rfam family "Bacterial small subunit ribosomal RNA", at positions 879 to 1482 of the family's 1533-position model. The record is from RNAcentral.